Molecule: non-coding RNA, 1772 nt
Organism: Callithrix jacchus (white-tufted-ear marmoset)
Lineage: Eukaryota; Metazoa; Chordata; Mammalia; Primates; Cebidae
Source: RefSeq, a predicted model, not a curated record
AUGGUGGUGGUGGCAGCCGCGCCGAGCCCCUAAAGUACUGCUUCUGUCGGGGCAGCCCGCCUCUACUGACGGAGCCCCAGCCGGCCAGGCCCUGCCGCUCAUGGUGCCCGCCCAGAGAGGGGCCAGCCCGGAGGCGGCGAGCGGGGGACCGCCCCAGGCGUGCAAGCGACAAUGCCUCACGCACCUGAGCCCCAUGCACCGGAGCCCCGAGGAGAAGGCGCUGAGGAGGAAACUGAAAAACAGAGUAGCAGCUCAGACUGCCAGAGAUCGAAAGAAAGCUCGAAUGAGUGAGCUGGAACAGCAAGUGGUAGAUUUAGAAGAGAACCAAAAACUUUUGCUAGAAAAUCAGCUUUUACGAGAAAAAACUCACGGCCUUGUAGUUGAGAAUCCGGAGUUAAGACAGCGUUUGGGGAUGGAUGCCCUGGUUGCUGAAGAGGAGGCGGAAGCUAAGGGGAAUGGAGUGAGGCCAGUGACUGGGUCUGCUGAGUCCACAGCAUUCAGACUAGUGCACCCCUGCAGCAGGUGCAGGCCCAGUUGUCACCCCUCCAGAACAUCUCCCCAUGGAUUCUGGCGGUAUUGACUCUUCAGAUUCAGAGUCUGAUAUCCUGUUGGGCAUUCUGGACAACUUGGACCCAGUCAUGUUCUUCAAAUGCCCUUCCCAGAGCCUGCCAGCCUGGAGGGGCUCCCAGAGGUCAACCCAGAAGGACCCAGUUCCUUAUCAGCCUCCCUUUCUCUGUCAUUGGGGACGUCAUCAGCCAAGCUGUAAGCCAUUAAUGAACUAAUUCACUUUGACCACAUAUAUACCAAGCCCCUAGUCUUAGAGAUACCCUCUGAGACAGAGUGCCAAGCUAAUGUGAUAGUGAAAAUUGAGAAAGCACCUCUCAGACCCUCAGAGAAAGAUCACCCCGAAUUCAUUGUCUCAGUGAAGGAAGAACCUGUAGAAGAUGACCUCGUACCAGAGCUGGGUAUCUCAAAUCUGCUUUCAUCCAGCCACUGCCCGAAGCCAUCUUCCUGCCUACUGGAUGCUUACAGUGACUGUGGAUAUAGGGGCUCCCUUUCUCCCUUCAAUGACAUGUCCUCUCCGCUUAUAAACCAUUCUUGGGAGGACCCUUUUGCCAAUGAACUCUUUCCCCAGUUGAUUAGUGUCUAAGGAAUGAUCCAAUACUGUUGCUCUUUUUUCCUUGACUAUUAUACUGGCCGGAGGAUAGCAGAGAAGCCUGUUGUGCUUCAUUCAGAAAGCCAAAAUAGAGUAUAGAGUCCUAGAGAAUUCCUCUAAAGUAUUUGUUCAAACCUCAUAGAUGACCCCCAGGUGUUGUCUUUUGACAUCCAGCAGUCCAAGGUAUUGAGAUACAUAACUGUAAUUGAGAACUACAGCUUUUUUAAAGAUUGUACUUUUAUCUUAAGGGUGGUAGUUUGCCCUAAAAUAUAUAUUACGUAUAAAAUACUUAUUAUGUAUGUCUUGAAGUAGACAUGGAAUUUAUUAAUGGUUCUUUACCAUGUCUCUUCCCCCUUUUUGGCAUCCAGGCUUGUCUCCAGUUUUAGGUCCUUUAGUUUGCUUCUGUAAGCAAAGAACCACCCACCUGAGGGGGGCUCUUUCCCUCAUGUAUACUUCAAGUAAGAUCAAAAACCUUUUGUGAAAUUAUAGAAAUUUACCAUGUAAAUGCUUAACGGAAUUUUUUCCUGCUAGUAUAGAUUCUGAAAGGUGCUUUCUCCAUUUAUUUAAAACUACCCAGGCAAUUAAAAGGUACAAUGCAAAAAAAAAAAAAAAAAAA